This 345-nucleotide ribosomal RNA is filed under the name uncultured Acholeplasma sp. RNAcentral's name for it is "bacterial SSU rRNA". It matches the Rfam family "Bacterial small subunit ribosomal RNA", at positions 1036 to 1382 of the family's 1533-position model. Lineage: Bacteria; Bacillati; Mycoplasmatota; Mollicutes; Acholeplasmatales; Acholeplasmataceae. The record is from RNAcentral.
AGGUGGUGCAUGGUUGUCGUCAGCUCGUGUCGUGAGAUGUUGGGUUAAGUCCCGCAACGAGCGCAACCCUAUUGCUAGUUACCAUCAUUAAGUUGGGGACGUCUAGCGAGACUGCCAGUGAUAAACUGGAGGAAGGUGGGGAUGACGUCAAAUCAUCAUGCCCCUUAUGACCUGGGCUACAAACGUGAUACAAUGGCUGGAACAAAGGGAUGCGAAGCAGUGAUGUGGAGCGAAACCCAUAAAAACAGUCUCAGUUCGGAUUGAAGUCUGCAACUCGACUUCAUGAAGUCGGAAUCGCUAGUAAUCGCGGAUCAGAACGCCGCGGUGAAUACGUUCUCGGGGUUU